ACUCGAGUGGCGAACGGGUGAGUAACACGUGGGUGAUCUGCCCUGCACUCUGGGAUAAGCCUGGGAAACUGGGUCUAAUACCGGAUAUGACCUUCCCUCGCAUGGGGGUUGGUGGAAAGCUUUUGCGGUGUGGGAUGGGCCCGCGGCCUAUCAGCUUGUUGGUGGGGUAAUGGCCUACCAAGGCGACGACGGGUAGCCGACCUGAGAGGGUGAUCGGCCACACUGGGACUGAGACACGGCCCAGACUCCUACGGGAGGCAGCAGUGGGGAAUAUUGCACAAUGGGCGCAAGCCUGAUGCAGCGACGCCGCGUGAGGGAUGACGGCCUUCGGGUUGUAAACCUCUUUCACCAGGGACGAAGCGCAAGUGACGGUACCUGGAGAAGAAGCACCGGCCAACUACGUGCCAGCAGCCGCGGUAAUACGUAGGGUGCGAGCGUUGUCCGGAAUUACUGGGCGUAAAGAGCUCGUAGGCGGUUUGUCGCGUCGUCUGUGAAAUUCUGCAACUCAAUUGCAGGCGUGCAGGCGAUACGGGCAGACUUGAGUA
This 545-nucleotide ribosomal RNA is filed under the name Gordonia didemni. RNAcentral's name for it is "bacterial SSU rRNA". It matches the Rfam family "Bacterial small subunit ribosomal RNA", at positions 89 to 648 of the family's 1533-position model. Lineage: Bacteria; Bacillati; Actinomycetota; Actinomycetes; Mycobacteriales; Gordoniaceae. The record is from RNAcentral.